GCGCGAGUGGCGGAAUUGGCAGACGCGCACGCUUGAGGUGCGUGUGGUUUACACCGUGGGGGUUCGAGUCCCCCCUCGCGCA
This 82-nucleotide transfer RNA is filed under the name Verrucomicrobiia bacterium. RNAcentral's name for it is "tRNA-Leu". It matches the Rfam family "tRNA". From Rfam's summary of the family: Transfer RNA (tRNA) molecules are approximately 80 nucleotides in length. Lineage: Bacteria; Pseudomonadati; Verrucomicrobiota; Verrucomicrobiia. The record is from RNAcentral.